UAUGAACUGAAGGACCAGAGUCCUGAGCAGGGACAUGUCCAGUCUUGUGCUGCCUGAGUCUUCCAGGGGCACCCAGCUCCUCUGCUUUGUGGCCCUGUGUCUCCUGGGGGCAGGGUCAGUGGCUGCUGGAGUCACCCAGUCCCCAAGACACCUCAUCAAAGGCCAUGGUGGAGAGGCUGUUCUGAAAUGCCAUCCCAUCUCCGGGCACAACCGUGUGUACUGGAACCAGCAGGCUCAGGGGCAGGAACCCAGGUUUCUCAUUCAGUAUUACGAACAGAAAGAGAUCGGGAAAGGAAACUUCCCCGACCGCUUCAAAGGAAAACAGUUCAGUAACUACAGCUCCGAGCUGGCCAUGCACACCUUGCAGCUGGAAGACUCAGCCCUGUACCUCUGUGCCAGCAGCUUAGACACAGCCCUGCAGGGUCCAUGCCUUUCUGUACCCAAACCUUCCUGUCCCAGCUGA
Molecule: non-coding RNA, 463 nt
Organism: Artibeus jamaicensis (Jamaican fruit-eating bat)
Lineage: Eukaryota; Metazoa; Chordata; Mammalia; Chiroptera; Phyllostomidae
Source: the annotation of a RefSeq genome assembly